UUAUUUAUCUAUUAGGGGAAUGCCACAAUGAAGAAGAUGCUUCUCUAGGGUGAAGCUCUGCCUUUGCAUUUCAGUUGAAUUGAUCCCUGCAAUUUCCUUAAAUGUGGGAAAUUCAAUUGCAUAGUUUUUGAUAGUGAGAGACUGCAUUUGUGCUGAUUCCCA
Molecule: small nuclear RNA, 162 nt
Organism: Protopterus annectens (West African lungfish)
Lineage: Eukaryota; Metazoa; Chordata; Ceratodontiformes; Protopteridae
Product: U1 spliceosomal RNA
Exons: 1
Source: RefSeq, a predicted model, not a curated record